CAUCACUACGCUAGAUGCAUAUCAAUAAGCGGAGGAAAAGAAACUAACAAGGAUUCCCUUAGUAACGGCGAGUGAAGCGGGAAGAGCUCAAAUUUGAAAUCUUCAAGGUUCUACCUUGACGAAUUGUAGUUUGUAGAAGUGUUUUCUGUUAGUAGAGUGGCAAAAGUUCUUUGGAAUAGGACAUCAUAGAGGGUGAGAAUCCCGUAUUUGGUCAUUCUUUCUAGCUUUGUGAUACACUUUCAACGAGUCGGAUUGUUUGGGAAUGCAGUCCAAAAUGGGUGGUAAAUCUCAUCUAAAGCUAAAUAUUGGCGAGAGACCGAUAGCGAACAAGUACCGUGAGGGAAGGAUGAAAAGAACUUUGAAAAGAGAGUUAAACAGUACGUGAAAUUGUCAAAAGGGAAGCGUUUGACACCAGUGUUGUUUUUCCGAAAAUCAAUUACGAAUGUUUUGUUUUUGAGAAGUUAUGACUUCAUCGGCUUGCUUCUCUCUUUACGAAACUUUCUUAAUGCACUUUUCGGUUAACAAGUCAACAUCAAUUUCUUUUGUUGUAAAAGGGUAUGAGGAAGGUGGCUUUCUUUUCGGAGAAAGUGUUUAUAGCCUUGUACCUCUGCAAUCGGAGAGAUUGAGGUCUGCAGCGUAGAUCCUUCGGGGUUAGAUACAUUUGUGCUAAGUUAUAGCUUUUCAUAGACAACUUGUUGACUAUGUUAAGUCUUGUAGCUUACUCGCUUAUGCUAUUUUACCUACGCUUAGGAUGUUGACACACGCGCGUGCUCGGCUUUAUACAUGACUCUGCGCAUAUCAAUAAGCGGAGGAAAAGUAAAUGCUGUAUACCUACGCUUAGGAUGUUGAUAGUCACAGCGUGUAC
This 865-nucleotide ribosomal RNA is filed under the name uncultured Neocallimastigales. Its description in RNAcentral is "partial large subunit ribosomal RNA". It matches the Rfam family "Eukaryotic large subunit ribosomal RNA", at positions 20 to 644 of the family's 3401-position model. Lineage: Eukaryota; Fungi; Neocallimastigomycota; Neocallimastigomycetes; Neocallimastigales. The record is from RNAcentral.